CACAGUAAGUCUACGCCUUCUUAGAAACAUGUACCCUUGAGAUGAAGAUACGAAGGCUGCGUUGAGCCGUCCCACUGACUUUUAGUUUGAUGGCGUUGAGCUUCUCCGCUUUGAGAUGAUCCCUCAGCAUGUUGCGGUGGCUCUGUUUCUGCUCCAUGGCGAACUCCCUGAGGGUGAAGCGCUUCACCCCGCUGUGACGUGGCGACAUGCCCAGGGUGCUGCCACCCUGCGUGGGCACGCUGGUGAAGCCCUGCCGCCGGUUGAAGUAGUAGACCGUGACACUUUCAAAGUGCACGUUGCGGCCACGCAGGCGCUUUGACUGCUGCUGGAGGUUGGCUGAGAUUGGGACGGAGAAGAGGAAACAAACUGAGUGACUUCAACAGUUUGAAUGAAGAAGUAAGCUGCUGACAGGAGCAGUGUAGAAAUGUGAUCUUACAGUCCAGCAGUCCGGAGGGGACGGGAUGAUUUAGACUAUCACUGCUGUUGCCGCUGUCGCUGCAGGAAACGUCAUCAUCAGAGCCCUGAAGGGACAGGUAAGGAGACGGGCCCUCUUCAAGCUUUCUCUUCAGGAUCCCACUCAUCAUGUGGCUUCUCCCACUAGUCACACCUGCAUAGAGGAAAUACAUAAGCGACAAAAAACAUUAAACAUCAGGAAGUCCUCGACUCUCUCCUCUGCAUCACCAGCAGCAGCCAAACAUCCCCAUGUGUCGUGAUGAUGCAGUGAGCGCUGCCAUGAUGCCUGCUUUCUCCCUCUCUCUCUCUCUCUUCCUCCCUCUCUCUCUCUCUCUCUCUCUCUCUCUCUUCUUCCAGCAGCCUCUGGCACUAUUUCGCAGCACCGAAACACCUCUGCCUCUGUCACUAUCUCCUGCGCUCUCCCUCUGCACCCUCACUCUGUCAACUCUCUCACUGUCUGAUUCUCUCUCCUGCUCUGCACCCCUCCUCCUCCUCUCUAUCUCUCUCUUCCCCUCGCUCUCUCGCUCUCUCUCUACUCACAAAGACUUGUUAGCUCGAUGCUGCUGCCGGCUGGAGCGCUGGAGCUUGACUGAGGUGAAGCAAGCCCUUGGAGA
This is a long non-coding RNA of Notolabrus celidotus (New Zealand spotty), 1067 nucleotides long. RefSeq lists it as uncharacterized. The transcript is spliced from 3 exons. NCBI's taxonomy places the organism in Eukaryota, Metazoa, Chordata, Actinopteri, Labriformes, Labridae. The record is from RefSeq and is a predicted model, not a curated record.